Molecule: ribosomal RNA, 258 nt
Filed under: uncultured prokaryote
Description: partial 16S ribosomal RNA
Rfam family: Bacterial small subunit ribosomal RNA
Source: RNAcentral
UACGUAGGGGACGAGCGUUGUCCGGAAUUACUGGGCGUAAAGGGCGCGCAGGCUGUAGAUCAAGUCAACUGUGAAAUGUCUGGGCUUAACCCGGGCAUGCGAUUGAAACUGAUGUACUGGAGUGCUGUAGAGGCAAGUGGAAUUCCCAGUGUAGCGGUGAAAUGCGUAGAUAUUGGGAAGAACACCGGUGGCGAAGGCGACUUGCUGGGCAGCAACUGACGCUGAGGCGCGAAAGCCAGGGGAGCAAACGGGAUUAGA